Molecule: unclassified non-coding RNA, 293 nt
Filed under: uncultured fungus
Lineage: Eukaryota; Fungi
Also listed under: 1 other name
Description: sequence contains ITS1
Rfam family: 5.8S ribosomal RNA (bases 1-105)
Source: RNAcentral
GAAAUGCGAUAAGUAGUGUGAAUUGCAGAAUUCAGUGAAUCAUCGAAUCUUUGAACGCACAUUGCGCCCAUUGGUAUUCCAAUGGGCAUGCCUGUUCGAGCGUCAUUUGUACCCUCAAGCUUUGCUUGGUGUUGGGCGUUUGUCUUUCGAGACUCGCCUUAAAAAGAUUGGCAGCCGGCAUACUGGUUUCGGAGCGCAGCACAAAUUGCGGUCUGUUCCUGAAUGUUGACGUCCAUGAAGCCCCCAUUAUCACUUUUGACCUCGGAUCAGGUAGGGAUACCCGCUGAACUUAA